UUGUCUGCAAUGCAAUGCUACCUGAGAACUGCUGGAGAUGAUGAAUGGGCAGGGGAAAAGCUCAUGUUUAUGGAUCCUCUCUUUCAAAUCAAAGAAUUGAAGCAUGGUGGUCUUUCAUGAGACGAACUAGAUCAGGCUGGUGGAUUGACUUUUUCCAAGAUAUGGCACAAAAAGGUCGCAACAUGAAACCGUAUCAGGAGUUCCAGACAUUUUGUUCUUUCUGCCAGAAUACUAUGGGGGUGAAAACUGCCUAAUAGAUAUUUCUGCUGAUAAGCUGAGUGAAAUGGAAGAGAGAAUUGACCCAUGCAUUUGUGAGGACAUUUACAAAGAAUAUUUUGAUUAUGUCUUGGAAAACAAAAAUUUGGCAUAUCCUGCAGACAUAAAUGAAGGAUUCGAAAUUUUUCAACAUUUAAUUAAUGUACCACAAUGAAGUUAGUGUUAAUUAUAUAGAUUAUCACAC
Molecule: long non-coding RNA, 460 nt
Organism: Xenia sp. Carnegie-2017
Lineage: Eukaryota; Metazoa; Cnidaria; Anthozoa; Malacalcyonacea; Xeniidae
Exons: 2
Source: RefSeq, a predicted model, not a curated record